UGUAAGCGAUUGGACCGUUGCCGAAUCUAGGUGGCAGCACUGGUGAUCGGGUACAGCAGUCGUACUAAAGUUCUUGGGAUUUUGCUACGUGACUUAAGUUUCUCGACGAUUCAUCUAUUCCAAAAUGCGUCAAUUUACUAAAGUUAUCGCCCAAGCUGGACGUUUGACUUCACAGCCGGUUCGUAAUGGCUCGUACGUAUCACACAUUAAAAAUGCCACCAUGAAUGAAAUGCCUGUUCCCGCUGGCUCUUGGGCUGAGUAUAACAGUGCAAAACAACAAACCUACAAUUUACAUCUGGUGGCUGGAUUAGCAGUGACGAUUGUCACCCUUAUAGUGGGCGUACAAACAGAUGCUUUCUACCUGAACUGGGGUCCCGAGAUGAAGAACAAGAAAUGAACCAUUUCACAAGUCUCCUGUAAAUGACCAUAAGACUUUGUAGUCUGAAGAGUUCAAUUAGCAAAUUAUGUUCCUCAGAAUGUCACUCGAAUAAACAACCUAAAUUAA
Molecule: long non-coding RNA, 505 nt
Organism: Daphnia pulex (common water flea)
Lineage: Eukaryota; Metazoa; Arthropoda; Branchiopoda; Diplostraca; Daphniidae
Exons: 3
Source: RefSeq, a predicted model, not a curated record